AUUGAACGCUGGCGGCAUGCCUUACACAUGCAAGUCGAACGGUAACGCGGGGCAACCUGGCGACGAGUGGCGAACGGGUGAGUAAUGUAUCGGAACGUGCCCAGUUGUGGGGGAUAACUGCUCGAAAGAGCAGCUAAUACCGCAUACGACCUGAGGGUGAAAGCGGGGGAUCGCAAGACCUCGCGCAAUGGGAGCAGCCGAUAUCAGAUUAGGUAGUUGGUGGGGUAAAGGCGCACCAAGCCGACGAUCUGUAGCUGGUCUGUGAGGACGACCAGCCACACUGGGACUGAGACACGGCCCAGGCUCCUACGGGAGGCAGCAGUGGGGAAUUUUGGACAAUGGACGCAAGUCUGAUCCAGCCAUGCCGCGUGCGGGAAGAAGGCCUUCGGGUUGUAAACCGCUUUUGUCAGGGAAGAAAAGGCUCCUUCUAAUAUAGGGGGCUCAUGACGGUACCUGAAGAAUAAGCACCGGCUAACUACGUGCCAGCCGCCGCCGUAA
RNAcentral lists this ribosomal RNA (498 nucleotides) under uncultured bacterium. Its description in RNAcentral is "partial 16S ribosomal RNA". It matches the Rfam family "Bacterial small subunit ribosomal RNA", at positions 29 to 523 of the family's 1533-position model. The record is from RNAcentral.